UCAGGACAUGUUCUCCGCGGGCCCGCGCGCGGCUCCCAGCGGCCCGAGGGGCGGAGAGGCGGCGCGGAGGCGGGGGCCGAGGCUCGGGGACAGGGGCGGAGCGGACUGGGGACGGCCUCGGGCGCUGAGGACUCGGAAUGGCGGCGAGCAGGACCCUAGAGCUAAAUAAACCCCGAGGCGGCCGCACAACGUCAGGAACUGGACCUUGCUGCUCACCGUCCUGUGAUUGGUCCCGAGACCUCAAGAGGCGCAGCCAAUAGGCGACCGCUUCUUUCCCGGCGCAGGAGGCGGGCCGCUGUCGUGACGUCAACAGCGUGCGUCCUAAUUGUGAGGCUACGGCGCGCGCGGUUCGCGACGCGUCCUCCGGGUUUCCUGCCCUGACUUCCUUUGAGGAUGGACUGUGAUAUGGAACAAAAUCUAAAAUAAACCCUUUCUUCCCCCAAGCUGCUUCUGGUCAUGAUGUUUUGUCACAGCAAUAUGCCAACAUUUCCCAGCCUCUCCUAAGGAAGAAUAGGCUACUGAAGUACACUGACCAGCUUCCUACAAAACUAUCCUAAAAAUGUCAUCUGGUUCUUUGAGCUCAGUUUAGGCAAGAGAAACUUCCAGAUCAUUUCCAUGAAUGGACAUACUUAAGCACAUGGGGUUGAGGGUGUUGAUGCAGUCCUGUAAUCCCAUCACUAAACUGGCAGAGGCCAGAAACAAGAUGGUGACAGGAUCCCCUGGAAAUUGCUACAAUAAGGCAUUCGUGCCGUGCCGAGGGUGUGGCUCUAAGGCCUACCCCCUUCAGAGGUCAACCUGUGAUGAAUGUGUCUACCCUACCAAGUGCAAGAGAAAGAAGUGUAACUGGAGUGCCAAGGCUAAGAGACGAAACACUACCAGGACCGGGAGGAUGAAGCACCUAAAAAUUGUCUAUAGUACAUUCAGAUAUGGAUUCUGUGAAGGAACAACACCUAAACCCAAGAGGACAGCUGGGACACUGUAGAACUUUCCAAUCUUCCCAAUGCUGCAACCCUUUAAUACAGUUCCUUAUAUUGUGGUGACCCCCAACCAUAACAUUAUUUUCCUUGCUAC
Non-coding RNA from Arvicanthis niloticus (Nile rat), 1071 nucleotides. Lineage: Eukaryota; Metazoa; Chordata; Mammalia; Rodentia; Muridae. The record is from RefSeq and is a predicted model, not a curated record.